RNAcentral lists this long non-coding RNA (5649 nucleotides) under Canis lupus familiaris (dog). RNAcentral's name for it is "lncRNA (ENSCAFG00845023219.1)". Lineage: Eukaryota; Metazoa; Chordata; Mammalia; Carnivora; Canidae. The record is from RNAcentral.
UUUUUUUAUUUUUUUAUUUUUUUAUUUUUUUAUUUUUUUGGAGUUGCCAUUUACUGAGUGUAGGGAAGUUGGUUGCGGGUGGUAGGUAUUUGGUGUCAAGCAGGCUCCCUGAGGCCGGGAUGGGAGGUUCAGGCUGCAAAUAAAAUUUGAGAGUAUUCUCAGAUCAAGUCUUCAACAGAGCCUGAAACAGGGAUCCAAGUGUGGUUUAUUGUGAGGGCACAUUCAGAAGAAAUCUGUGAAGGCCUCCAUUAGUCAGCUAGUGAUUGUCUGUCCCUUGGGGGGCAGGGGUGGACCUUGGAAGGCAAGUAGCUCGAUAAUUGAGGGCAGUUCUCCGGCAAAAGGACAGAAGGACUGUGGACCACUGGCAGGGGAUAGACACAGUGAGGGACUGGGAUGGGGAUGUGGGUCUCAGUUCUGUGAAGGGGUCUGGGAGGGAAUUCUACGUCAUGUCUCUCCCCAUCCCCUGCUGGAUCAUCAGCAUGUACAUUGUGUGUAAAGCCAUGAGUCUGGAUGGGGUCAUGUAGAUGGAAUGUGUAUUUUAAGAAGCAAGAGAAGAGGGUCAAGGUCAGAGCUCUGGGGCUCUCUGGGAAAUGAGAAACCUACCAAAGAGACUAGAAGGAGCCACCGUUGAGGUUGGAGAAAACCCAGGAAAGUGGUGUUUUGGAAUGUGAGUUCUCUUUUUUCAACCUUGUUCCCUCCUCCAAUAAGCCACUUGGUCUGGGGAAGGAGGCUGAGGGGACUAGGACAGCCUUUGGGAGACAGGACUUCUCUUACAGGAGCCUUUGGGAGACAGGACUUCUCUUACAUUCUCUUAAAGGAAUGAAGGGAGAUAGAAUUUGGGGGUCAUUAAUAUGAUGGUGAGUAAUUGGGGGUGGCAAACUCAUAUAUUUUUGGUUUCCCAGGCUUCUUCCCCCUCCUCCCACUGCCCCAUCUCACCAGUCUAAGCUCUGGGAAUGCCCUUCUAUUCCUGGGAACACCCUUCUGUUCCUCCUUCUGCACCAUUCUGCUCCCCAUCCCUUUCUCUUUAGAGCACCUCCUCUUUUACCUGCACAAGAAUCCUCCUGUCAUGUUCUCCUUCUGGGGCACUGACAAUAAGCUACUACUGUCUUGCCCUACCUACGGAGCUUACUCUCUGGGUAGGCCAUAUGGCCAAGGCGUCAGUGUGAUUGGCAUUGUGGUGGCCACACUUGUGUCCACAGCAGCCCCCAGUCAGGGCAUGACUCAGAUCCUACUGGCUUCCACCCAUGGUCAUGGGAUCCUCCUCCUUCCCUUGCCCUGCUCUCCGCUCCACCAGCAGGGAGGAGGGUCAUAGGGCAGGUCUCUACAGUAGAGAGGAACCCAGUGAGUGGCCACCCUGGCCCAGACACCCAAGUCCAUGGAGAUGGUACACCUGGCAGCCAUUUAACUCAGCAGGGAGCUCCUGGCUACAGCUGUCCCUCCCAGUUGUGUGAGAACAGCCAAGGACACCAACAUGGGACCAGGCUGGGUUGGGUAGUCUGAUCCCCUCCAAUUCUUUGUGCCCUGCAGACCUUCCAUUUGGUCCUCUUCCUUGAGCCUGGGCUGAGCUCUUUGUGGAUGAUGUUGCUCCACACAUGAUUGAGUGGUGGUGGUGGUAGAAGGGGUCCUUAUUUACUCACUGAACUUGACGCCUCUUUACAGGGGUGGCAGGGUGGUUGAAAAGCACCUCCGCCCCGAUCCUGGCAAUGCCCCUGAGGAAGAAGCCCUGGGAGCAGUAUGGUCAACAUUGUCAGCACUUUGCUUGGAUUGGAAGCUAUGGGACUGGGUUACUAAUCUUUUUAUUCCAAAGGAAACCAAACCAAUCUUUAAAAAAAAAAAAAAAAGGUGGGCCAAUUCCUCCAAACCUACCAUGAAACCCAGUAUGCAGACCACAUUCAACAACCUCAACCCAGCACCUCCCUGAGUGUGUUUCUUGGAAGAGCCUAGAAGAUUCCUGGAUUGAGACUUCAUGGGUUCAGCAUUAGUUGGGCCUGUCUUUUGAAAAACAACAACAAAAAAAUCCCCCACAUUUUUAAGCUUUGCAGAAGUUUCCAGACCUAGCCUUAGGUGUCCUUCGACUCAUUUCCAUAGAGGGCAGCAGGGAGGUGACCCCCCACGGGGAUGGGGCCAUCUGUCCAGUCAUCUUGCCAUGUGGGUAGCCCAGGGAGGUGGCAUCCUCUGGGAAGGGCUGCCCACCAUGACCCCAGGAAUGUUCAGUGUCUACACUAACUGGAGCGCUGAGGGAGGCCUGUAUAGACACAGGUUUAAAAGAGACUAAUUGAAAUGUCUCUCAUACCAUAUUCAACGAUGUACCUUGACCUCUGAGCUUCGAGCCACUCUAAUGAUGGCCCUAACCUGUUAUGCCCACCCCUGGGACCCAGGAGAGCUGCUGGGCAUGCUGGCCACGAAGGCUGCCUUAGGAAAUGAGGCUUUUAGGAGUUCUUACUCAGGGAAUUUUAGGAGAACAAACAUUUUAUUGAACCAAACUCGGUGGCAAACAGAAAUGAUCUGUUAGAUUGUCAAAGGGGAAGGGUUUAUUAUGACUGCUGGUGGAAUAAACAGUGGCUGGUUUCUGCCAACAUUUAUGGAAAUAAUGUUUUUAAGUUUUAAAUGUGAGCUGUAAACCUAAGCUACUUCAGGGUUGUUGUUGUUGUUUUUUUUUUUUUAAUUCAAUACUGAAACUGUGGGGGGAAAGGUGGGUUGGUGCCAGAAAAAACAUUCUCAUUUAAUAGUGUUUGCACAUGGAACUGCUACCCAGUUUGUAGCGAGGCCCUGAGAAAAACCCACAACUAAUCCUUCAUCACAGCUGUCUGCGCUCUUGAUCAUCUGCCAUCCUCCGAACAGCGACUUCUUUUUUCUGGUGACUGCAGGCUUGAAUGACCUAGUGUGGAGAGUUUAAGCUAUAUACAAGGGGGGCGGGGGCGAGAAAGGAACCUCAAAUAAGCCUCAGCCAAAGGUUUUGUGCAUAGGACUUCCUGUGCCGGCAGCCAGGGGCAGGGCUGUUCCCCACCCUGUCCCUGCAGUGUCUCCCCGAGACGGAGGACAUCGCAACAGCCAGCUUUGCCUUGUCUGACCCACUCCUGUCCCUGCACCGAGUCAGGAGCACUGUGGUUUUUUCCACACUUGGGUGCUUCUCCCUCCACCUCCAGGCCAGGUGUGGGAGCAGUUGACCCCCAGCACCAAUCACUGCCCCCCAGGGGCCUCUCCCCAAAUAUCUGGCUUUGGUGGCUUGCUGAAUGAACGUGUUGGCUCACUAUUCUCUUGGAGCCAAUGCAGUAGGAUGCUGGUGGCCCACUUUAUAAGAAAAGAAUAAGAAGGAAAUAAGCAAUUUGGCCAAGAGGUACAGGAUCACUUGGUUUUGAGGAGGCCAGACUAUAAACACUGUUGCCAAUGUCUCUCUGCCCUCCCCUCCCUCGGCCAGGGCAGUAUGUAAUCUCACUCUUACAGGAAAUAAGAACUUGGAAAGUUAUUGAAAACAAAGAUUUUUUUUUUUUAAAGAAAAUCACAUUAAACGUUUUAUUUUGCUUAUUUUCUACUGUUUUGUCUACUGGGUGAACCUGAGCCACACCCAGUCAUUUGAGGAUGCCGUUGUAAGGAGCUCUGUUUUCUCAGGUCCCUGAGAUUUCUAACAGCUGUCCAGCAAAGCAGAACCCUUAUUCUGAGGACUCUGGGAUCUUCCUCAGCAGAGGGGGAUCCUUGCUAGCCUCACGGGCUGAGCACCUUUUCAGGAGAUAGGGGCUCAUUCCUCUUCCCAGGAAUGUUCUCUUUUAGAGGAGAUCUGGGAUUCCACUUGGAAAAACAUUUGGGAUCCAGGGCUUACUUUUGAUCUAAAGAGCUGGUUGGUCCCUUGCUGCCAACAUCUGAGAAGUGAUCAAACAAGGACCAAAACACCAUCAAGGAUGACCGCUAACAGCUUCCGUGCUCUGUGCAUGUCACUGAAGGGCCAGAAAGGAGACAAAGAGCAGAGGAAGCAGGUGCAAGGAGUGAGGGAGCAGUGAGGGCAGGGAGGCGUGGAGAGUUCAAACAGCAGCCGUGUGAGGACAGGUAGGGGACACGGGCAUGGUGUUGGAACUGGCCCAAGAAUCCCCAGGAUGCAGUGGAGAAGCAUGGCAUGAGGAGGCGUGGAGAUGCAGGGGAUCAGAGCUUUCGAAGCCUGGUGUGGGCAUGAAAUGCUCUGAAUUGGGGUGUGAGGGAGACCAGCCUUAGCCUGAUCCCAUGGGAACUCAGGAGCACAGAUUCUACCCAGAACUGUCCCACCCGGAGGCAGGGAGGCAGGCCUCGGGUAUGCCCAUGCCAGUCGUAGCUCCAGGCUGCCCUGGGGGGUACAGGUGGCUCUUACUCCUGGGUGAGGAACUCCCAUGGGGCUGAAGGCUAUCCUCUGGAUGAGAAGGCAUUUUUGAGCAUUUUAGCAGCCACCAUGCAGGGUAGCUGGAGGAUGGGUUCACGUGCAGAGUGAAGGGGAUCUGGGUGGGGCACAACUGUGUCCAUGACAUUGGGUAACGGGGGAGGCAUGGACGGCCUCCUGGUGGUCACAGAAGUAUAAGGGGACAUCAGGCAGAUGGGAUCAGUGCUGAUGUUCUCUGAGCUUGAUUGCUCCAUUUGUCUCUCCAGAUUUCUUUUUCAGCCUGUCCUGGGCCCCAGGGGCUUGGCCCUUAUGGUCGACACUGUCUGGGCUCCUUAUCCUUUGGUUUUGGGGUUGCCACUGGGAUGUGCUGGCAAGAGAUCGCAGGGAGGACCCUGCUUCCUUCAGGCUACACUUGGAUGGUGGCUGUGUUCUGCUUGAGGCCAGAGGUUUUUGUCGUGAAGCUCUCUUUCCGGUCCCCUAAGAGCCCUGCACCCCUCACUGUUUCUGUUAACCGUGCCCACACUUUUAUGACUAGUCUCUACAUCUCUCUUGAAUCAUCCCUCUGAGUGUCUGAUCAGGAGGAGGAUAAUCAGCCCUGGGCUCUACCUCUUGCACGUCCCUGGCACACCCAGCACCCAGCACUCUAUUAAAAGCAGAGUCUGAGUCAGCAGGUCUGGGAGGGGCCUGGGAUUCUGCAUUCCUAGCAAGCUGCCAAGUCCUGCCUGUGCCCCUGGCCCAGGAGCCACACUGACAAUUGAACCUGGGCCUUUUGUCAGAGUGAAGCGUAUGGUCUUUGGUUGAGGGGAGGAAGAAGGAGGGAGGCAGGAGGAGGGGCAGGAGCUCCGCAGACAUCCCUGAAAUCCUGCUGCAAGAGUGAACAGGGCUGAGACUCCGAGAGGGUGGUCUUGGAGCAAAUAUGAACGCACAAUUUUUGAGAUUACUAGAGAAACUUUUUUUUUUUUAAACCAUCAUGAUGUAACCCAGAUACAAGAUACAUUUAGCAACUGUUUGGGGAAAUAAUUAUUUAUUUUAAAGAUCUCAGAAGCUUUGUGUUAAUGGACCACACGACCCUCAAUUUUCAUUAACAUUAAACGUUUACCAGUCUCAAGACACGCAUAAUGACAUAUAAUUUAGGUUUACAAUGUUUUAAUCAUUCCCCUUCCAUAUGCAUUUUUAGAUCCUAUAACAUUAAUUUAGAUGGAAGCAAACCAAUAAAAACUUAAAAACUGAUGUGUUGGGUUUGUUUUCAUGUAGUUCAUAUCUAUGAAAUAAUACAUGUAUUAAUGCAUCUGUAAUAAAUUUAUUAA